Hyaena hyaena (striped hyena) is the source of this 800-nucleotide long non-coding RNA. RefSeq lists it as uncharacterized. The record is from RefSeq and is a predicted model, not a curated record. The transcript is spliced from 2 exons. NCBI's taxonomy places the organism in Eukaryota, Metazoa, Chordata, Mammalia, Carnivora, Hyaenidae.
GAGAGAGAGAGAGAGAGAGAGAGAGAGAGAGAGAGAGAGAGAGAACAGAAAAAAAACACGAAUGCCUUUUCUUUUGAUUCAAGGUCUCAAGAUGGAACUGUGGGGACUGGUUAGGAUCUGAGGGAAUUCUUCCACAGGACAAAGCCAACAUCAACACUUGACUCUUCCAAGUGGUGCCUCCGGCUGGGGCUGGAGACCGCAGACCCUGGGGAGGCCUCUGAAGACCCCAAGGGACUCCACUCUUCUGCACGUGGACUGAGACAGCACUGGCACAAGCCAAGUCAGUGGCACCCAACCACCAGGCCAAGCCUGGGACCGACACCAUGAGCACACCCUCUAGUCCCCUCCUGAUCUGGCCAAUGUGUUUGCUUUACCAGAAGUCCCUGGAGGAGCACCCACCCAUCAUCCUCUUCCCACCAGGGGUGACUUUCCACCAUGGGAGAUGGACUUUUAGUGAAAGCCAUGCUGACCUUCUCUCAGAAGGUCAGUCCUGGCCUGUGUGCAGGGGUGGGUCUGGAGGUGGAUGGACUCAGGUCCUUCUCUCUGCCUCUGCCAAAGCCACCUCCUUUAUUGCCCACCUUUCCCAUCACUCAUGGGGCUCCCCCCGUGCCCCACCAUGCCACACAGAGCAGGGGGGUGUGGUGUCUCUGCAUCCCUGCUGCCCUCCCUCGUUGUGUCUCACUUUCCUGUGCCUUUUGCAUGUUGGGAGAAGGUCUGGGUGUCACUGCCGCUCAUGCUUAGAAACCACCGAAAGCCCCCAAUAAAGCAUUCAGGAGGAACAGUUGCUUUUCGUUUCUAAA